Molecule: ribosomal RNA, 251 nt
Filed under: uncultured bacterium
Lineage: Bacteria
Description: partial 16S ribosomal RNA
Rfam family: Bacterial small subunit ribosomal RNA
Source: RNAcentral
UACGGGGGGGCAAGCGUUGUUCGGAAUUACUGGGCGUAAAGGGCUCGUAGGCGGCCAACUAAGUCAGACGUGAAAUCCCCAGGCUCAACCUGGGAACUGCGUCUGAUACUGGAUGGCUUGAAUCCGGGAGAGGGAUGCAGAAUUCCAGGUGUAGCGGUGAAAUGCGUAGAUAUCUGGAGGAAUACCGGUGGCGAAGGCGGCAUCCUGGACCGAGAUUGACGCUGAUGAGCGAAAGCUAGGGAGCAAACGGG